GGUCCGCACUGGUGUGAUGGAUUCCCACCUUCUGAAUAACCAGCAUGCCAUUAAUUUGGUGCGUUGGGGAAGCAGGACUGUUACCUUGAAAAAAUUAGAGUGCUUAAAGCAGGCUAGUGCCUGAAUACAUUAGCAUGGAAUAAUGAAAUAGGACGGCAUGGUUCUAUUUUGUUGGUUUCUAGGAUCACCGUAAUGAUUAAUAGGGAUAGUUGGGGGCAUUAGUAUUCAAUUGUCAGAGGUGAAAUUCUUGGAUUUAUUGAAGACUAACUUCUGCGAAAGCAUUUGCCAAGGAUGUUUUCAUUAAUCAAGAACGAAAGUUAGGGGAUCGAAGACGAUCAGAUACCGUCGUAGUCUUAACCAUAAACUAUGCCGACUAGGGAUCGGACGAUGUUAAUUUUUUAAUGACUCGUUCGGCGCCUUACG
Molecule: ribosomal RNA, 423 nt
Filed under: uncultured Glomeromycotina
Lineage: Eukaryota; Fungi; Glomeromycota
Description: SSU rRNA
Rfam family: Eukaryotic small subunit ribosomal RNA
Source: RNAcentral